This is a non-coding RNA of Heligmosomoides polygyrus, 71 nucleotides long. NCBI's taxonomy places the organism in Eukaryota, Metazoa, Nematoda, Chromadorea, Rhabditida, Heligmosomidae. The record is from Rfam.
GCGCCGGUGGUGUAAGGCGAACAUCGCUGCCCGGAAAGCAGAAGAUGCGGGUUCGAUUCCCGCCUGGCGCA